UGGGGAAUAUUGGGCAAUGGGCGAAAGCCUGACCCAGCGACGCCGCGUGAGGGAAGAAGGUCUUCGGAUUGUAAACCUCUUUCAGCAGGGAAGAAGAAAGUGACGGUACCUGCAGAAGAAGUCACGGCUAACUACGUGCCAGCAGCCGCGGUAAUACGUAGGUGGCGAGCGUUAUCCGGAAUUACUGGGUGUAAAGGGUGUGUAGGCGGGAAUGCAAGUCAGACGUGAAAUCUACGGGCUCAACCUGUAAAUUGCGUUUGAAACUGUAUUUCUUGAGUAUGGGAGAGGUAAACGGAAUUCCUGGUGUAGUAGUGAAAUGCGUAGAUAUCAGGAGGAACACCGGUGGCGAAGGCGGUUUACUGGACCAUAACUGACGCUGAGACACGAAAGCGUGGGGAGCAAACAGG
Molecule: ribosomal RNA, 407 nt
Filed under: uncultured bacterium
Lineage: Bacteria
Description: bacterial SSU rRNA
Rfam family: Bacterial small subunit ribosomal RNA
Source: RNAcentral